Molecule: ribosomal RNA, 372 nt
Filed under: uncultured organism
Description: partial 16S ribosomal RNA
Rfam family: Bacterial small subunit ribosomal RNA
Source: RNAcentral
GGAGGGGUGCGAGCGUUAAUCGGAAUUACUGGGCGUAAAGCGCGCGUAGGCGGUCGGGGUCAGUCGGGAUGUGAAAGCCCCGGGCUUAACCUGGGAAUUGCAUUCGAAACUGCCUGGCUAGAGUAUGGGAGAGGGAAGUGGAAUUUCCGGUGUAGCGGUGAAAUGCGUAGAUAUCGGAAGGAACACCAGUGGCGAAGGCGGCUUCCUGGCCCAAUACUGACGCUCAGGUGCGAAAGCGUGGGGAGCAAACAGGAUUAGAUACCCUGGUAGUCCACGCCGUAAACGAUGAGGACUGGAUGUUGGGAGGGUAGCCUCUCAGUGUCGCAGCUAACGCGUUAAGUCCUCCGCCUGGGGAGUACGCCGGCAACGGUA